UGUAUAAUGGGUCAGCGACUUAUAUUCUGUAGCAAGGUUAACCGUAUAGGGGAGCCGCAGGGAAACCGAGUCUUAACUGGGCGUUAAGUUGCAGGGUAUAGACCCGAAACCCGGUGAUCUAGCCAUGGGCAGGUUGAAGGUUGGGUAACACUAACUGGAGGACCGAACCGACUAAUGUUGAAAAAUUAGCGGAUGACUUGUGGCUGGGGGUGAAAGGCCAAUCAAACCGGGAGAUAGCUGGUUCUCCCCGAAAGCUAUUUAGGUAGCGCCUCGUGAACUCAUCUUCGGGGGUAGAGCACUGUUUCGGCUAGGGGGUCAUCCCGACUUACCAACCCGAUGCAAACUACGAAUACCGAAGAAUGUUAUCACGGGAGACACACGGCGGGUGCUAACGUCCGUCGUGAAGAGGGAAACAACCCAGACCGCCAGCUAAGGUCCCAAAGUCAUGGUUAAGUGGGAAACGAUGUGGGAAGGCCCAGACAGCCAGGAUGUUGGCUUAGAAGCAGCCAUCAUUUAAAGAAAGCGUAAUAGCUCACUGGUCGAGUCGGCCUGCGCGGAAGAUGUAACGGGGCUAAACCAUG
Molecule: ribosomal RNA, 581 nt
Filed under: Klebsiella michiganensis
Lineage: Bacteria; Pseudomonadati; Pseudomonadota; Gammaproteobacteria; Enterobacterales; Enterobacteriaceae
Description: partial 23S ribosomal RNA
Rfam family: Bacterial large subunit ribosomal RNA
Source: RNAcentral